GAUGAACGCUAGCGAAAUGCCUAACACAUGCAAGUCGAACGGACCUUGCCUUGUGCUUGCACAAAGUAAGGUUAGUGGCAAACGAGCGAGUAACGCGUGCUUAACCUGCCCCGAAGAUGGGAAUAACUGCAGAGAUGUAGCUAAUUCCCAAUAUGCUCACGAUGGUGAAAUUCCGAUGUGAGGAAAGAUUUAUCGCUUCGGGAGGGGGGUGCGUCCUAUCAGGUAGUUGGUAAGGUAAUGGCUUACCAAGCCUAUGACGGGUAACCGGUCUGAGAUGAUGUCCGGUCGCGAUGGGACUGAGAUACGGCCCAUACUCCUACGGGAGGCAGCAGUGGGGAAUCUUGCACAAUGGACGAAAGUCUGAUGCAGCAAUUUCGCGUGAAGGAUGAAGCAUUACGGUGUGUAAACUUCUUUUUUGGAGGAAGACGAAUGACGGUACUUCAAGAAUAAGAGACGGCUAACUACGUGCCAGCAGCCGCGGUAAUACGUAGGUCUCAAGCGUUAUCCGGAUUUACUGGGCGUAAAGUGUCCGUAGUCUGAUCUGUAAGUCUGUUUUCAAAUCCUACGACUCAAUCGUAGAAAGGGAAUGGAUACUGCAGAUCUAGAAGUAUCUAGGGGUUAGUGGAAUUUCCGGUGGAGCGGUGAAAUGCGUUGAUAUCGGAAGGAACGCCGAAAGCGAAAGCAGCUAACUAUAGAAUACUUGACGAUGAGGGACGACAGUUUGGGGAGCAAACAGG
RNAcentral lists this ribosomal RNA (737 nucleotides) under uncultured candidate division SR1 bacterium. Its description in RNAcentral is "bacterial SSU rRNA". It matches the Rfam family "Bacterial small subunit ribosomal RNA", at positions 28 to 776 of the family's 1533-position model. The record is from RNAcentral. Lineage: Bacteria; Candidatus Absconditibacteriota.